RNAcentral lists this ribosomal RNA (469 nucleotides) under uncultured bacterium. RNAcentral's name for it is "partial 16S ribosomal RNA". It matches the Rfam family "Bacterial small subunit ribosomal RNA", at positions 27 to 507 of the family's 1533-position model. The record is from RNAcentral.
GGACGAACGCUGGCGGCGUGCUUACCACAUGCAAGUCGAACGGAAAGGCCCUGCCUUUGUGGGGUGCUCGAGUGGCGAACGGGUGAGUAACACGUGAGUAACCUGCCCUUGACUUUGGGAUAACUUCAGGAAACUGGGGCUAAUACCGGAUAGGAGCUCCUGCUGCAUGGUGGGGGUUGGAAAGUUUCGGCGGUUGGGGAUGGACUCGCGGCUUAUCAGCUUGUUGGUGGGGUAGUGGCUUACCAAGGCUUUGACGGGUAGCCGGCCUGAGAGGGUGACCGGCCACAUUGGGACUGAGAUACGGCCCAGACUCCUACGGGAGGCAGCAGUGGGGAAUAUUGCACAAUGGGCGGAAGCCUGAUGCAGCAACGCCGCGUGCGGGAUGACGGCCUUCGGGUUGUAAACCGCUUUCGCCUGUGACGAAGCGUGAGUGACGGUAAUGGGUAAAGAAGCACCGGCUAACUACGUG